AAAUCACAUAGGCAUCUCAAAACUUGCAACAUAUGGGACACUAAUAACCGUCAAUUCCUUUCGGGUCAUCAAGGCAUCAUAACAGUUUCAAAAUUUAGGCUCAUAUAUAUAUAUAUAUAUAUAUAUAUAUAUAUAUAUAUAUAUAUAUAUAUAUAUAUAUAUAGGGCAUAUCAAGUAAGAGGACCUUUUAAAAUGAGAGAUGAGAGGGUGAAAUCACAACCCUUAGAUCAAUCUUUAUUGUGUUACUUAAAUUUUAAAACUGCUUCUUCUCUCGCCGUCUAUUCAUCUCCCUGUGAUAUUUCAGUUUCUUUUUUUUCUUUCAAAUGUUAUUAUUCAAGAUCCAAUGGAAGGCAAUUUUGAUGUAUCAUGGCUAACUUAAUCAAAAAAACAAUCACACCUUAUGAAUCACACCAAAGAGAAGUUUGGAAAAUAUGAAUUGUUAUGAAUCAUAGAAGCCGUAAAAAAAACUAAAACAUCAAAUCCAAAUUUGGGAUAUGGGUUAUCAUUAAAUCAAACCUUGUAAAAGAGCUGUAAUGAUGAUUCGGUAAUCCACUUUCAGUUUAUAGAAUAGAAAAAGAAAGAAGAACAAAAACUAAUCUUUUUUAAAUCUUCAUGGAUUUCAUUUCUGCUGCACUUUCUUCAUGUUCCUGUCACUAAUUAAAAGAAUGCAUAAUUUUAUUCAUUGAAUUUCAUAGUUUAUCCCAAAUUCAUUUAUUAGUAGUAGUUUGAUGGUUUGAUACAAAAUAGUUUUCUUCUGGAAAUCACGUUCGUACUCAUAGCUAAAAAAAGAAGAGAAAUAGAGUUGAUGAAACAGGAUAAUUUGGGCUGGAAUUGGAGAAGACAAUUUGGAAAAGAAAAAAACAUAAAUCUAAGAGAAGAAAGGAAGAGGGAUGAAAGCGCUUACCCACUUAACUACAAGAGAAGACAAUCACACGUGUGUGCAGCAGUGCAGGUAUCACAAAUAAAUAUCAGCCAUUUGAUUUGAUCUAAGGGUUGCGAUUUAACCCUCUCACUCUCAUUUUAAAUAGUGGUCUCAUUUGAUACACCCUAUAUAUAUAUAUGACAAUUCAUAGUAUAAAAUUGCACUCAAGAUCAUAAAAUCACCAUGGCAUCCCAACAAUUGCAACAUAAGGGACAAAUAAUAUCCGUCAAUUCCUUUCGGAUCAUCGAGACAUUAUAAUAGUAUCAAAAUUUAGGCUCAUAUGUCAUAUAUGAGUGACAAUCCACAGUAUAAAAUUGCAUUCAAGAUCAUACAAUCAUUGAGGCAUCCCAACACUUGCAACAUAUGAGACAAAUAAUAUCCGUCAAUUCCUUUCAGGUCAUCGAGACAUCAUAAUAGUUUCAAAAUUUACGCUCAUAUAUCAUAUAUGAGUCACAAUUCAUAUUAUAGAAUUGCAUUCAAGAUCAUAAAAUAACCGAGGCAUCCCAACACUUUCAACGUAUAGGACAAAUAAUAUCCGUCAAUUCCUUUCGGGUCAUCCAGCAAUCAUAAUAGUUUCAAAAUCACCCAGGCAUCAUAAUAGUUUUAAAAUUUAGGCUCAAAUAUCAUAUAUGAGACACAAUUCAUAGAAUAGAAUUGCACUCAAGAUCAUAAAAUCAUUAAGGCAUCCCAACACUUCCAACAAAUAAUAUCCGUCAAUUCCUUUCGGGUCAUCGAGGCAUCAUAAUAGUUUCAAAAUUUAGACUCAUAUCAUAUCUGAGUGACAAUUCAUAGUAUAGAAUUGCACUCAAGAUCAAAAAAUCAUUGAGGCAUCCAACACUUGCAACAUAUCGAACAAAUAAUAUCCGUCAAUUCCUUUCGGGUCAUCCAGCAAUCAUAAUAGUUUCAAAAUCACCCAGGCAUCAUAAUAGUUUCAAAAUUUAGGCUUAUAUAUCAUACAUGAGUGACAAUUCAUAGUAUAGAAUUGCAUUCAAGAUCAUAAAAUCAUUGAGGCAUCCCAACACUUGCAACAUAUGGGACAAAUAAUAUCCGUGAAUUCCUUUCGGGUCAUCGAGGCAUCAUAAUAGUUUCAAAAUUUAGGCUCAUAUAUGAUAUAUGAGUCACAAUUCAUAUUAUAGAAUUGCAUUCAAGAUCAUAAAAUCACCAAGGCACACCAACACUUGCAACAUAUGGGACAAAUAAUAUCCGGCAAUUCCUUUCAGUUCAUCGAGGCAUCAUAAUAGUUUCGAAAUCAUCAAGGCAUCAUAAUAGUUUCAAAAUUUAGGCUUAUAUAUCAAACAUGAGUGACAAUUCAUAGUAUAGAAUUGCACUCAAGAUCAUUAAAUCAUUAAGGCAUCCCAACACCUGCAACAUAUUGGACAAAUAAUAUCCGUGAAUUCCUUUCGGGUCAUCGAGACAUCAUAAUAGUUUCAAAAUUUGAGCUAGUUUAGAAUUUUACUCGAGAUCAUAAAAUCACAUAGGCAUCUCAAAACUUGCAACAUAUGGGACAAAUUAGAACCGUCAAUUCCUUUCGGGUCAUCAAAGCAUCAUAAUAGUUUCAAAUUUGGGCGCAUAUAUCAUAUGAGUAACAAUUCAUAGUCUAGAAUUGCACUCAAGAUCAUAAAAUCACAUAGGCAUCUCAAAACUUGCAACAUACGGAACAAAUAAUAUCCGUCAAUUCAUUUCGG
Molecule: long non-coding RNA, 2607 nt
Filed under: Medicago truncatula (barrel medic)
Lineage: Eukaryota; Viridiplantae; Streptophyta; Magnoliopsida; Fabales; Fabaceae
Description: long non-coding RNA (MTRU_LNC006551)
Source: RNAcentral